Long non-coding RNA from Argiope bruennichi, 444 nucleotides. RefSeq lists it as uncharacterized. The transcript is spliced from 3 exons. The record is from RefSeq and is a predicted model, not a curated record. Lineage: Eukaryota; Metazoa; Arthropoda; Arachnida; Araneae; Araneidae.
AAGGAAAUCGCAUACUAAAUUAGAGGAUGUAGGAUUGGUAUAUUAAGUCGGGAGCAUUCGUUAGAAUUAUUAUUUCGACUCAAGACGUUUCAAAGCUUCUACCGUUCCUUUCUUUCGGAAGUAUAUUUCCUAUCAAACGAAAUUAUGAAGGUCACAGUAGCAACAUUCUUUGUCUUGAUCGCCGCCAUAGCUCUUUUGCUGUCAUCUCCGUCGGAGGCUAUGAGUCUAAUGGGCGGUGGUGGGGGAAAUGGAAUUUCUGAAAUCCUAGUUGCUGGACUCGUAGCCAAGUUACUUUCAGAGCACCACCGUGGUGGAUGUCACUCUUAAGACAAUGAUUGUUCGUAAAUUCUUCUUCUUUUGUUCUUUCUUCAAGCGAACUCCUAGCCAAAUUUUUUUUCAAAUCAGUGGACUAAAAAUUUCGUCCUCUUCGUAUUUCAUUUGUGU